Non-coding RNA from Jaminaea rosea, 91 nucleotides. The record is from the annotation of a RefSeq genome assembly. Lineage: Eukaryota; Fungi; Basidiomycota; Exobasidiomycetes; Microstromatales.
GCGGGAAUAACUCAGUGGUAGAGUAACCGGUUGCAAUUUCCUCCGAAUCGCUUGACCCGGUAAGUCCUUGGUUCAAACCCGAGUUCUCGCU